AUAAGAAUAAUAAUGAUGUUGAUG
Molecule: non-coding RNA, 24 nt
Filed under: Arabidopsis thaliana (thale cress)
Lineage: Eukaryota; Viridiplantae; Streptophyta; Magnoliopsida; Brassicales; Brassicaceae
Source: RNAcentral